RNAcentral lists this ribosomal RNA (337 nucleotides) under uncultured bacterium. Its description in RNAcentral is "bacterial SSU rRNA". It matches the Rfam family "Bacterial small subunit ribosomal RNA", at positions 28 to 377 of the family's 1533-position model. The record is from RNAcentral.
GAUGAACGCUAGCGGGGGGCAUAAUACAUGCAAGUCGAACGGUCGCAAGAUAGUGGCGAACGGGUGCGUAACGCGUACGUAAUCUACCUUUUUGGUGGGGGAUACCGACUGGAAACGGUCGUUAAUACCGCAUAAGAAAGCGAGUACAUAAGUAUUUGUUUUGAAAGGAGCAAUCCGCCGAAAGAUGGGCGUGCGUCCAAUUAGGUAGUUGGCGAGGUAACGGCUCACCAAGCCUACGAUUGGUAACUGGGUCUGAGAGGAUGAUCAGUCACACUGGCACUGAGACACGGGCCAGACUCCUACGGGAGCAGCAGUAGGGAAUUUUGGACAAUGGGGC